Molecule: ribosomal RNA, 466 nt
Filed under: uncultured bacterium
Lineage: Bacteria
Description: partial 16S ribosomal RNA
Rfam family: Bacterial small subunit ribosomal RNA
Source: RNAcentral
ACGAACGCUGGCGGCGUGCUUAACACAUGCAAGUCGAACGGAAAGGCCCUGCUUUUGUGGGGUGCUCGAGUGGCGAACGGGUGAGUAACACGUGAGUAACCUGCCCUUGACUUUGGGAUAACUUCAGGAAACUGGGGCUAAUACCGGAUAGGAGCUCCUGCUGCAUGGUGGGGGUUGGAAAGUUUCGGCGGUUGGGGAUGGACUCGCGGCUUAUCAGCUUGUUGGUGGGGUAGUGGCUUACCAAGGCUUUGACGGGUAGCCGGCCUGAGAGGGUGACCGGCCACAUUGGGACUGAGAUACGGCCCAGACUCCUACGGGGGCAGCAGUGGGGAAUAUUGCACAAUGGGCGGAAGCCUGAUGCAGCAACGCCGCGUGCGGGAUGACGGCCUUCGGGUUGUAAACCGCUUUCGCCUGUGACGAAGCGUGAGUGACGGUAAUGGGUAAAGAAGCACCGGCUAACUACGUG